This 391-nucleotide unclassified non-coding RNA is filed under the name soil metagenome. RNAcentral's name for it is "partial contains 5.8S ribosomal RNA, internal transcribed spacer 2, and large subunit ribosomal RNA". The stretch from base 1 to 122 matches the Rfam family "5.8S ribosomal RNA", at positions 35 to 154 of the family's 154-position model. The record is from RNAcentral.
GAUGAAGAACGUAGUGAAAUGCGAUACUUGGUGUGAAUCGCAGAAUCCCGUGAACCAUCGAGUCUUUGAACGCAAGUUGCGCCCGAAGCCAUUAGGCCGAGGGCACGCCUGCCUGGGCGUCACACGUCGUUGCCCCCCCAUCUACUCCUUCGGGAUUGCGGGGGGCGGAUGAUGGCCUCCCGUGCGCCUCGUCGCGCGGUUGGCAUAAAUACCAAGUCCUCGGCGACGCACGCCACGACAAUCGGUGGUUGCGAAACCUCGGUUGCCCGUCGUGUGCGGUCGUCGCGCAUCGAGGGCUCGAAAAAAUUGCCGGGCUCCGGCUCGGCUUUCAACGCGACCCCAGGUCAGGCGGGGUUACCCGCUGAAUUUAAGCAUAUCAAUAAGCGGAGGA